AUGCAAGUCGAACGGUAACAGGUCUUCGGAUGCUGACGAGUGGCGAACGGGUGAGUAAUACAUCGGAACGUGCCUAGUAGUGGGGGAUAACUACUCGAAAGAGUAGCUAAUACCGCAUGAGAUCUACGGAUGAAAGCAGGGGACCUUCGGGCCUUGUGCUACUAGAGCGGCUGAUGGCAGAUUAGGUAGUUGGUGGGGUAAAGGCUUACCAAGCCUGCGAUCUGUAGCUGGUCUGAGAGGACGACCAGCCACACUGGGACUGAGACACGGCCCAGACUCCUACGGGAGGCAGCAGUGGGGAAUUUUGGACAAUGGGCGAAAGCCUGAUCCAGCAAUGCCGCGUGCAGGAUGAAGGCCCUCGGGUUGUAAACUGCUUUUGUACGGAACGAAAAGCCUGGGGCUAAUAUCCCCGGGUCAUGACGGUACCGUAAGAAUAAGCACCGGCUAACUACGUGCCAGCAGCCGCGGUAGUACGUAGGGUGCAAGCGUUAAUCGGAAUUACUGGGCGUAAAGCGUGCGCAGGCGGUUUUGUAAGACAGUGGUGAAAUCCCCGGGCUCAACCUGGGAACUGCCAUUGUGACUGCAAGGCUAGAGUGCGGCAGAGGGGGAUGGAAUUCCGCGUGUAGCAGUGAAAUGCGUAGAUAUGCGGAGGAACACCGAUGGCGAAGGCAAUCCCCUGGGCCUGCACUGACGCUCAUGC
Molecule: ribosomal RNA, 700 nt
Filed under: uncultured bacterium
Lineage: Bacteria
Description: bacterial SSU rRNA
Rfam family: Bacterial small subunit ribosomal RNA
Source: RNAcentral